GAGAAGAACGUAGCGAAAUGCGAUAAGUAAUGUGAAUUGCAGAAUUCAGUGAAUCAUCGAAUCUUUGAACGCACAUUGCGCCCCCUGGUAUUCCGGGGGGCAUGCCUGUUCGAGCGUCAUUUCACCACUCAAGCCUCGCUUGGUAUUGGGCAACGCGGUCCGCCGCGUGCCUCAAAUCGACCGGCUGGGUCUUCUGUCCCCUAAGCGUUGUGGAAACUAUUCGCUAAAGGGUGUUCGGGAGGCUACGCCGUAAAACAACCCCAUUUCUAAGGUUGACCUCGGAUCAGGUAGGGAUACCCGCUGAACUUAAGCAUAUCAAUAAGCGGAGGA
This 330-nucleotide unclassified non-coding RNA is filed under the name soil metagenome. RNAcentral describes it as "partial contains 5.8S ribosomal RNA, internal transcribed spacer 2, and large subunit ribosomal RNA". The stretch from base 3 to 119 matches the Rfam family "5.8S ribosomal RNA", at positions 38 to 154 of the family's 154-position model. The record is from RNAcentral.